This 6007-nucleotide long non-coding RNA is filed under the name Nicotiana benthamiana. RNAcentral's name for it is "long non-coding RNA (NBEN_LNC029785)". The stretch from base 303 to 373 matches the Rfam family "MIR6151 microRNA precursor family". Lineage: Eukaryota; Viridiplantae; Streptophyta; Magnoliopsida; Solanales; Solanaceae. The record is from RNAcentral.
CAGCCCAAUUGCUAAACCCGCCCGGCUGCCCCUAAACUUGACCCAUCUCCACAAACACACACACAAAUACAUACAAAGACCCAACAAAUUAAAUCCUAAACUCAUGCGACUAUUUCAUCGUCUUCUUCACAAAGCCGCAUUUCAACUCGCCAAAUCCAUGGCGAGUGAUUCCACAUUCCUAACCCACACAUCCCUCCAUCUCUCCUCUUGCCAUUUCUAAAGUUUUCUAACGCCAAGAUUCCCCUCUCCUCUCACUCGCUUGAAUUUGAGAUAUAUCUCACGUUUGGAAGCUUCUGAAAAGGAUUGGCUGGAUGACUGUGAGGCGUUGGAUUGAUUUUACUCAAUCCGAGCCCCACAUUCAUCAAGGGUUCAUUUUCAAAAAGGAACCUCUUCCGAUUUUGAGAGAUGAGGAAUUCUGGUAAAAAAACAGGGGAGAGAAAACUCGAAGGAUCUUUUUAGCUUCUGAUUUCUCUUUCCUGAAGAUUUUUUUUCUUUGAAAAGUUUCUCCGAAAGGUUCAAAAAGUGAGAUACAUAUAUAUAUUUAUUAAGUUCUGAAUCUAGAUUUUGGGUUCCAAAGAGAUAAAAAAUGGGUCGAAGUCAUUCGAUUGGGGGUGAGACUCAAGUUCGUUAACUUCGAUUUGCUACUGCUGCCUUACUGCUUCGUUGCAGAACCUUGCUAGGAUCUUGGAAUCCAAAAUUUUACUCGCUGCUUCUUCUGUAAUUAUUGAAAAGAAGUUUGAAAGUUCAGGUUCAAUCUCUUUCUCUUUCGCAUCUCUAUUUUUAAAGUGUUCUUGAACUGUGAAUUCUGUCCAGAACGGUGUUUGGUUCUAUGAGUGAAUUUCUUGCUGGUGAAUCUCUUUUCAAUGGUGUGAUGUAUUUGAGUAUGUUCAGUCAGUAAAGUUGAUUUUGAGGGAUCGUCCUCCAUGCUUAUAUGCUUUAAUUGUUAUUAUGGUGGUGAGUUUUCAUUUUGAGUCAAGAUUUCGUUAUUUUCAAAUGAACCGUUUGAUUUCAACUUUGAGAUGGUAUGGAUUCUUGAAGGCGUCAUACUACUGUUAGUUUAAGUCGAUUGGUUUAAGUCUAAAUGACUGUGUUCAUUGGUUCCAGUUUUAUAAUCAAGACUAGUUCCAGUUUAAAUGACCAGUUCAACUAAUGCUUGUGUUGCUUUGGCUAUAUACGACAUGUUUGAUGCUCAAAGUAAUCUGCUUGUACCUACUAUUUUAUCUCAGCAUGUUCUACAUGAAUCAUUGAGUAGUCUCCUUUUUCCCUGAUUCUAUGACCAUUUGCGUAUGUUCUGCUGGUUUGAAGUUGCUGAGAUUAUCCUUGUUAAUUUUUGAUUUUGUGGCUAUCGAGUUAAUCAGUCGGUCUUUCUUGCUGUGGCUCUGUUUGCGUUGUGAUCAAGUUUUCUGUUUUGGGAUAUAAGUCCAUUAGAUUGCUGCUUGCUGAAACUCCAUUUCAGAUUAUUUCAAGCCUCUCAUUUGGCUUUCCAUAUUUGCCCUUUCACUCUCAAUAUUUUACACACAGACUCAUCUAUGACACGCAUUACUUAGAAUGAAUUUAAGCUGAUUGUGAAACAUGGUGCAUUCAAUUACCCCCUUGGUAGCUGUGAGUUGAUUUUUAUGCAAUACUGUUGGUUAAUGUCACAUAUAAUAGCUAACUUUGGUCGAGUUGCAUUCUAUUUCCCUUCCUCUGUUAGUCUAUCAAUUUAGAGCUUUAGAUAUAUGUUCGUUGGUUGUCUAUGCUUGUUUCCUUGACCGGGAUUCUGAUGUCUCUCACCCAUUCUAGGAGACUAGUUUUAUUGAUCUCUUUUACAACCAACUAUUAACUUGGCAUUCAUAUGCUAUGGCUGUUGCUCUUCACCGAACAAUUAGUUCUAAGUAGCUGCUCCAGUUGCUUAAUCCAAUCAUUCAAACUGGAUGUUUUCCUUAUCUAUGUUCUUUGGCUUUCUAAAAAUGGGAAAUAGGCAGAUCUUUGGUUGUUGUGAAGCUGAAACCUUUCUUAUGAGUUUGUUGGCCUGGGUUUGAAAACUUGACUGAUCACUUGUAGGAAAAUCAGUAGUAGCUGGCUUUCUGAAUUUUGCUUCGUUUGGUUUGGACAGUCGUAGGAAUACCAGAUUUGUUUUUUUGUGCACUUUCAUUCGUUUGGCCAGCCUCAUUUGUCUUUGAAGGGUUAACAAGCAGUUUUUUGUACAUAGUUGACGAUGAUUAACCGAAGUAGCAGUAGGUAGCAAAUGGAAGUCAUGGCUACUGAUUAGAAGUGUCACUCUGGUUUUGUCUGCUGCAGACAAGUCCAUAGGCCUAUAAAUUCUAGUUUCCGGUUUUGGGGUUUUACCAUUUGUUAGGCAUUAAAGGUUUUUACCCUCGAAGGCAAAUUGUGUUAUGUAUAACUAUAUCGUCCGUCACAUGUUGGAUUGAGUUCAUUUCAGGGUUUGCUAAUGUUAUUUUAAGUGGAAUGUAGAUCUCAGUCGAAGAGUUGAGGAGGAGAUGGCUAGGGUCUCUGAACAUAAAUUAAGUACAAUCCCUUUGGAAAUAGUAGAGAUGGGCCAUAUUAGAUAACACAAAUAACUUAUGGCCCCCGAAGUUUAGCUUGAAUUUUUUUUAAUUGGAAAUUAAUGUGCAUCAUGCAAAACAAAAAUCUCAAUUGCAUGACCCUCAUUUAAUUAAUCUUGUUUUGAUCCUUAGAAAUCGAGGCGUGCCGUUUAACGAAAUUCCCAUGGUCCCCGCAAAGUUAAAAACACGUAGUUACUUUAGGUGCAUUAUUUUAAUAAGAUUACCUUCCUAAACUCGGGUGCGCAUUUAUGUGACCCAAAUCUAAAUCUCAACAACGUUAGAUAAAAUAUGUCAAGGACCACGGGUGCAUUUAUGUGAUGUGGUUCAAGACGUGUUUUAAUAACGUUAAAAUCUUUCUAAGAAAAAAACAAUUAAUUAAAAGCGGUUAUAAAGCAAAAAUGCACAUAGCAUUAAACAUGUUUAAUAUCAGAUAAUUAGGCCAAUUAUAACACUUGAGCGACCGUGCUAGAACCACGAAACUCGGGAAUGCCUAACACCUUCUUCCGCGUUAAUAGAAUUCAUUACCCGGAUUUUUGUGUUCGCGGACUGUAAUUUAGAGUCGAUCUUUUCCUCGAUUUGGGAUUUGAACCGGUGAAUUGGGACACCAUAAAAUUAUCCCAAGUAAAGCGACUCUGAUUUUUUUUUACUAAAUAAAUUUCGUCUCGAUUGUCAGUUUAAGUUGAAAAAACUCCCUUAUACCUCUUCCGGGGGUGUAGAAAAAAGGAGGUGUGACCCACCCCAUCCUCAAUAUUUCUUCACAAUUCAUAAUCAAGGAAUAUUCUACCAACGGGAACAUCCAGCCUUUGAACCUUAUGUAUACCAUAUCCAUCAUCUUACAGAAAAAUAUCCACAAUUCAAAUCAUAAUGCACCUACCAAUAGGCGAACUCUCCUCCGGCGAUAGCAAAUAGUGCCAGCAUAGUGUUAAGCACUCGAAAUCAUUCGUGUCAUCAAGAACUCAUAUUCUUCCCUCCAAAACUAAACUUUAAUCUUGUACAUGAAAAUGUUCAACCCCACACGGUGCUUCACCUAUAACAUUCUAACUCAUGACACUAUGAAAAUUUCAUAAUCAACUCUGAACCAUGAUCAAAUUGAACAACUCAUCAACAACGAACCUUUUAUUUUAAUCAAUCCAAGAGAACAUCAUGACACAAAAUAUAACUUCUACACCUGUAACAAACACCAACUCCAGUCGUAGUCAUAACCAUGAUAAAUUUUUCAACAAAAAACCCAGUGUAAUCUCACUAAUGGCGUUUGAGGACGGUAGUGUGUAUGCAAACCUAUUUUAAGAAGAUAGACAUGUUAUUUCCGAUAGACUUCGGCUAUCUUUCAGAUAGUAACAAAAAUCUCUUUUUUUUUAUAAGUAAACAAAAGUGAUACUCCUUCCGGUCAAUAAUAAGUGUCCUUUUGGCCUUUGGAACACCCCUUAAGAAAAUAACUCCUAAAAAAGUAUUUUGACUAAACUACCAUUAAUUAAAAUUUGUAUAUUAUUAACUGGACACAAUGGGAUAUGUAAAUAAGAUCAAAUUUGGAAAAAUAAAGUUAGAUUCUUCUUGAUUAGGUAAAAAGGAUACUUAUUUUGAACUAAAACAAAAAGGCCAAAAGGUCACUUCUUAUGGAUUAGAGGGAGAAGCCUAUUUGACCGGACACAGAGUUUAAGAAAAACAAAAGGCUUUUGAACUUGUAACGUAAAAUGAUGCAAAUAUAUUUUAUGUGUAUAUAUUGCAUAAAGGUAAUUAUUUCCAAAUAUGGAAAGAGGUCUUUUUUUGGCACGGACUAAAAAGAAAAUAGGUUCACAUAAAUUGAAACAGAGGAAGUACUAUCUAUUCCACGGGAACCACUCUCCCACCUUAUCCCGAAUUUCUUCAUUCCUAAUUAAUCUUGGUAUACCUGCACAUCCAUCUAAACAUCCUUAUUUCUGCUAAUUUCAUCUUCUAGACAUGAAAAUUCUUGACUAGCUAACACUCUGCCCCAUUUGUAUGGAAGUUUUGUCGUGUUUUUAAUUCAAAAGCCGAUUUUAAAUCUAUUUCGAUAUUGGUAAAGAAAAAGGAGGCAUAUUGAACUGAGUUAGGGCAAUUGCAACACCCUCACCAUUGGCUAGACCUCAAUUUACUGAGGUGAUGCUCUAAUGGUAUAUGGUUGAAGAAAAUUUCCAAAAAUGACAAGUUUUGUUAAACUAAGAAUGCAAAUUUUGAAGGAGAGAAAAAUUAGUUAUCAACUCGAUCACUCUUCCAGAUUGUCAAUGAGAUGUUGGUUCUCAAUAAGUCAACUAAGCAAUAUCAAACAAGCACUACAUACUUCUAUUAGAAACUUCUACCAGUGUACCUUCAUAAAACAAGGGCUCAAGUCAACAAUUGACAACCUCUCAACUUUCUCCCCUAAACUCAAAUCGGGAGACUUUACCCACAAUAGAUGAAGUAAUUCCAUUGACAUCCUUCCCAACAAGCAGUGCCCUUCGAGAUUCACUAUCACAAUUUGAAAAUUAGAUUAUAACAAGAAAGAAGAUGGACCAUGAGAACCCUGAAGAAAAUUUGUUCUUGAAGGAGGGAAAACAUCCCAACAUUCAAACCAACUAAAUAAGAAAAAAGGAGGUUAUCAAACAUAACGAAAAAGUAUAAAGCAACAGAAGAUAAUAAAUAUUGCAUAAAGCCUAAUACGACGGAAUUUGACAUAACAACAAACAUUAUAUGGUUUUUCUUUUCAUGCGCUAACGGAGCUAAACAUUGAGUGCAUGUUCCAAGUGCUGAGAAAGGUCUAUGGACUUUGUUGAGAUCCAUUUGUUGACAAUAUUCCAGAUAUAACAUUUUAACUUUGUAUUAUAUAUUUUACACAUCAAAGGACAAACAUGAAUUCAUAAUCAUGUUUAGGUUUAUCGUUCCCUCCCCAGACCCCACCUGGUGGGAGUAUACUGGGUAGUUGUUGUUUAGGUUUAUCGUUGUUUCUUAAGCUAGCCUGUGCUGCCAUAAGAUUGAGAAUAAAAAGUUUCCAGUGUUCUUUUUAAAUUUGAUUUGUUUCACACAAUUGUUGUUGUUAGAGUUUAGGAAUAAUAUCAUCAAAUCAUAUUACAAGGUCCUAAAUGUGCUAGAACCACCAGCAUUGAAUUAAAAGACGUCCAAAUCUUGUCAGGUCCACAGAUACAAAGAAGAUAAGAAGGGAAAAUUAAAGAGACGAUGUUAAUGGAUGUGAAGGAGAAUCACUUUAUAAGGACAUAAAGGGACAAGUAGAAGGAUACUCUGAACUUUUCUCUCCUCAAUCAGUAUCUAGAAGGAAAUGCUUUUUAAGAAAGACAAGAAUAGGAAAGAAAUACUAUAGACUCAGGUUACCAUACUGCAAAUACUUUGUUAUUUCAUUAUAGUCUUCUUUCUUUUAAUUCAGGAUUGUGAAAUAGGUCACUCAAAACUGAAGAAACAUGUUUCUAGAUUUGGCACAUUAUAGAUUAUUAGACUUUCAAUAUAUGUAUGCU